AUAUCACUCGAUGAACUGCCAAAGACAGUAGGUGCUGAAAAGCGUAAGGUUAAAACGCCUACCGAGGAGAGAAUCGUAUGAAGUAUUGAUUAUGUACAUCGAUCCCGGUCUCUGAGCAGACCGGGAUUUUUUCAUCGUUUGA
Molecule: regulatory RNA element, 142 nt
Organism: Clostridium sp. CAG:632
Lineage: Bacteria; Bacillati; Bacillota; Clostridia; Eubacteriales; Clostridiaceae
Rfam family: Ribosomal protein L10 leader
About the family: This family is a putative r-protein leader autoregulatory structure found in B. subtilis and other low-GC Gram-positive bacteria. It is located in the 5' untranslated regions of mRNAs encoding ribosomal proteins L10 and L12 (rplJ-rplL).
Source: Rfam